UUUUAGAAAAAUCUACUUUGUUUCUUAUCUUUGUUUUUCUGUACAUAACUAUAUCAUUUUUUUCUGGUUGCUUUACAAAUUUUCUCUUUAUCACUGUUUUUGGGCAAUUUUAUUAUGAUGUGGUUUGGUGUAGCUUUUUUUUUUUCUUUUUUUGUGCUGGUUCUUGUGUAGCUUCUUGGAUCUAUGAUUUGCAGUUUUCAUCAAGUUUGGAUACUGGAUUAAAAUGAAGUGGUGAGUGAGCCAGGGUCCUUUUUCCUUUUGGUUAUUUCACUUAGUAGGCUUUGGUGUCUGAAAGAAAUGAGCAAGAUUUAGGAGAAAUCCAUCUAGAGAACAGAGGAGGGUGGAGGCUGCCCACAACUAAUAGAGUUAUAACUAUCAGCGUAUUUAUGAGGUUACCACAGAUAUGACCUCUUUUAAACGGGCAGCAUUGAAAGUGUUUCUUAGUCAUAUGUAAAUAAUUGAAUGUAUAUUGCACACUACUUGGAGGAAGAACUGAAACCUGGUUUAUCAAAUAACUGAAUUAGCUUCCUUUCUUGAUGAGAUUUUUCAAACAUCUUAAUUUCUAUCUGCAAAAGGUUUGAGGUUUGCUGUUUUGGGGAUCUGCAUGUAAAACUGUUUCAUCUCAUUGACCGGCUGAGACAUUUCUUCUUGGUUUAGCUUGAUUGUAUGUUCAUAUUGUUGGUUGUUAUCAUUUUAAAAGACACUGAGCCAAACUUGGAUGCACUGAUCAGAAGAAUUCACUUAAGUAAGUAAUUAAAAAAAAAAACAAAAUUCAUGUACCUGCUAGAUUUCAGAUACCGAUAAGAUACAUAAUUCCAUUUGGAAUUCACUGGAGUAGAGCCAGUGGCUCCCAUCAUCACCAGGAGUCAUUUUUUGGACUAUGAAAUGCUGCAUGUGACUUAGGAUAGUUCUGUGUGCUGAAUUAGUUCCAGAGACUUGAAUAUACAGGUCAGUGAACACACAGAAAUCUCUUUUGGUUCUAAAAAUAAUAAUGGUAUCUUUUAUUAUUUUUGGAACCAAAAGAGACUCUGUGUUCACAGAAAAAUGGUAUCUUUUAUUUGCAUAUGGUGUUAUAAUUUUGAAAACACAGAACUACAUUUUUAAAGAAGUUUAUAAUCCAGCUUGGGAAACAAAACAAAAAUAUGUAGAACGAUUAAGUGCUCAACUAUAGUUCAGCUGAUUAUAGAAGCAAAGGAAAAUAGAAGUAAAAAUCUAAAUAGAGUCAUUGAAAGAAGCUUUCUAUAGAUUGCUUAGU
Molecule: long non-coding RNA, 1255 nt
Filed under: Pan troglodytes (chimpanzee)
Lineage: Eukaryota; Metazoa; Chordata; Mammalia; Primates; Hominidae
Description: long non-coding RNA NONPTRT014066
Source: RNAcentral